UUCAGCUGAAGUACUUCAACGACACCGGAGAUUUAAUGGACAUUCAGAUGAACAACGUUUGGAAUCAGCUGAUCCAGUUUGAGCUCCUGUGAUCAAACCACAAUAUUUUGUCGAUCUGCUCCAUUUAUGAUCACGAUAGUUGAGCAUUUAUUCAUCUCUCAAAUAUUUUCUGCUAAUAAGUCUUCACAUAAUCAUAUUCUCUCUUACUGCUCUUUUAAUAAGAGACUUGCUCGUUGCUCCUCAUAAAAAGAACAAAAAUAUUGAUAUUACGUUGUAUAAUUACUAAUAUUUCUGACCGCUCACAGAAUUUGUGUUCAUUUUGUUUUCUUGUCAGUAUGUAACAAGGAGGCAGUAUGUCAUAGUGGCUGAUUUGGAGGAAGGAUUUAUAUUUUUUAGCUUCCCAUUAUGAUUGAAUAAGAACAAUAGAUUAAUUUUCCUAUUGGCAGCAGACACGUGCUGAUUGACUAUUCAAUAUUAGCUUGCAGUUCACUAUCAGGGCCAAAAUGAAGCUGCAAUUCACUCGCAUAGUCCUUCUCAUGAGCCUUUUGUGCAAGCUAUGGUUGAUUCUGCUACAACAUACAUAUUGGUCUUAGGACCAACACUGUUGCCAAGUCGGGUGGGACGGGUAAGAAACCAAAGCAGUAGUUGGUCUGCUAUGCUAUGUCUGCACAUGAUGUUUGUAUAUUAGGGUGGUGACGAUGGUGCUGUCUUGACACACUGGCAAAAGAUGAAUCGGUUGCAGAUUAAAUGAAAUUGUUUUAUUAUGUAGCUUCUAUUUCUUGGUUCAAUGCAAUCUGGUAUUUUUGCCGUAGAGUUUUAUGUUGACAUUACUGUCACUUCACUUGCAAUAUGGUAUUGUUGCCACUUCAAAAUUUGCAUUAUUAUUUGAUCAAAUUCAA
Lolium perenne is the source of this 899-nucleotide non-coding RNA. The record is from RefSeq and is a predicted model, not a curated record. NCBI's taxonomy places the organism in Eukaryota, Viridiplantae, Streptophyta, Magnoliopsida, Poales, Poaceae.